RNAcentral lists this ribosomal RNA (504 nucleotides) under uncultured bacterium. Its description in RNAcentral is "bacterial SSU rRNA". It matches the Rfam family "Bacterial small subunit ribosomal RNA", at positions 33 to 507 of the family's 1533-position model. The record is from RNAcentral.
ACGCUGGCGGCGUGCUUAACACAUGCAAGUCGAACGAGAAGAGAUGAGAAGCUUGCUUCUUAUUGAUUCGAGUGGCAAACGGGUGAGUAACGCGUAAGCAACCUGCCCUUCAGAUGGGGACAACAGCUGGAAACGGUUGCUAAUACCGAAUACGUUCUUUUUGUCGCAUGGCAGAGGGAAGAAAGGGAGGCUCUUCGGAGCUUUCGCUGAAGGAGGGGCUUGCGUCUGAUUAGCUAGUUGGAGGGGUAACAGCCCACCAAGGCGACGAUCAGUAGCCGGUCUGAGAGGAUGAACGGCCACAUUGGGACUGAGACACGGCCCAGACUCCUACGGGAGGCAGCAGUGGGGAAUCUUCCGCAAUGGACGAAAGUCUGACGGAGCAACGCCGCGUGAACGAUGACGGCCUUCGGGUUGUAAAGUUCUGUUAUACGGGACGAAUGGCGUAGCGGUCAAUACCCGUUACGAGUGACGGUACCGUAAGAGAAAGCCACGGCUAACUACGUG